Molecule: ribosomal RNA, 253 nt
Filed under: uncultured bacterium
Lineage: Bacteria
Description: partial 16S ribosomal RNA
Rfam family: Bacterial small subunit ribosomal RNA
Source: RNAcentral
UACGUAGGAUCCAAGCGUUAUCCGGAUUUAUUGGGUUUAAAGGGUGCGUAGGUGGCUUAUUAAGUCAGGGGUGAAAGACGGUAACUCAACUAUCGCAGUACCUUUGAUACUGACGGGCUUGAAUGAACUAGAGGUAGGCGGAAUGUGACAAGUAGCGGUGAAAUGCAUAGAUAUGUCACAGAACACCAAUUGCGAAGGCAGCUUACUAUGGUUUUAUUGACACUGAGGCACGAAAGCGUGGGGAUCAAACAGG